Panthera uncia (snow leopard) is the source of this 7850-nucleotide RNA transcript. It is a transcript of the gene named GRB10 interacting GYF protein 2, with no coding region annotated. The record is from RefSeq and is a predicted model, not a curated record. NCBI's taxonomy places the organism in Eukaryota, Metazoa, Chordata, Mammalia, Carnivora, Felidae. The transcript is spliced from 30 exons.
GCUGUCACGUGACGUGCGUGGCGACGUGUCGGCCAUCUUGUGUUGUUGAGGCUGAAGACUGACUUGGAUUCUGAGAGACUCCCUGUCCCGGACCGCAGUGUUAAAAGGACCUGAACAAAGUCUGCUUGCACCUCCUGCUGUGAACCAGCAGAACUUUUGAACAGGUUUCUCCACAUAUAAAAAUCUAUUGUAAAAAUACGGAAAAUAAUGGCAGCGGAAACGCAGACACUGAACUUUGGGCCUGAAUGGCUCCGAGCUCUGUCCAGUGGUGGGAGUAUCACGUCCCCUCCUCUUUCUCCAGCUUUGCCGAAGUAUAAGUUAGCAGACUAUCGUUACGGUAGAGAAGAAAUGUUAGCACUUUUCCUUAAAGAUAACAAGAUACCUUCAGACCUUCUGGAUAAAGAAUUUCUGCCUAUCCUACAGGAGGAGCCCCUGCCUCCGUUGGCUCUUGUACCCUUUACAGAAGAAGAACAGAGAAACUUUUCCAUGUCUGUUAAUAGUGCUGCUGUCCUGCGAUUGACAGGACGAGGAGGAGGAGGAACAGUGGUGGGGGCUCCUAGAGGUCGAAGUUCUUCAAGAGGGCGAGGCAGAGGCAGAGGUGAAUGUGGUUUCUACCAAAGAAGCUUUGAUGAAGUGGAGGGUGUCUUUGGUCGAGGAGGUGGCAGGGAAAUGCAUAGGUCACAGAGCUGGGAGGAAAGAGGUGACAGACGUUUUGAAAAACCAGGACGAAAAGAUGUAGGGAGACCCAAUUUUGAGGAAGGUGGACCAACAUCAGUGGGAAGAAAGCAUGAAUUCAUACGAUCAGAAAGUGAAAAUUGGCGCAUUUUUAGAGAGGAACAAAAUGGAGAAGAUGAAGAUGGAGGUUGGCGACUAGCUGGAUCAAGAAGGGAUGGAGAGAGGUGGCGGCCGCACAGUCCUGAUGGCCCUCGUUCUGCAGGCUGGCGUGAACACAUGGAACGACGGCGAAGGUUUGAGUUUGAUUUUCGAGAUCGGGAUGAUGAACGGGGUUACCGAAGGGUGCGCUCUGGCAGUGGAAGCAUGGACGAUGACCGGGACAGCUUGCCCGAAUGGUGCCUAGAGGAUGCUGAAGAAGAGAUGGGCACAUUUGACUCCUCCGGAGCGUUCCUCUCUCUGAAGAAGGUCCAGAAAGAGCCGAUUCCAGAAGAGCAGGAGAUGGACUUCCGGCCUGUAGAGGAAGGGGGGGAGUGCUCCGAUUCUGAGAGCAGCCAUAACGAAGAAGCCAAAGAACCUGAUAAGACAAAUAGGAAAGAGGGAGAGAAGACAGAUAGAGUAGGAGUUGAAGCUAGUGAGGAAACAUCCCAGACCUCAUCAUCAUCUGCUAGACCAGGUACUCCUUCAGACCAUCAGCCUCAGGAAGCACCACAGUUUGAGAGGAAAGAGGAACCCCAAACUGAGCAAACAGAAAAAGCUGAGGAGGAGAGUCAGACGGAAAAUAGCCUGCCAACCAAAGUGCCCAGCAGAGGGGAUGAAACGGUUUCUGAUGUCCAGCAGUCCCUGUCCCAGAUUCCUUCAGAUGCAGCCUCUCCCCUUCUCAUACUUCCACCCCCUGUUCCCAGUCCUCGUCCUGCCCUGCGGCCAGUUGAAACGCCGGUCGUAGGUGCUCCUGGUAUGGGCAGUGUGUCCACAGAACCAGAUGAUGAAGAGGGCCUCAAACAUUUGGAGCAGCAAGCUGAGAAGAUGGUGGCUUAUCUCCAAGAUAGCGCACUAGAUGAUGAGAGAUUGGCAUCAAAACUGCAAGAGCACAGAGCUAAGGGAGUCUCAAUUCCAUUGAUGCACGAAGCAAUGCAGAAGUGGUAUUACAAAGAUCCUCAGGGAGAAAUUCAAGGUCCCUUCAAUAAUCAGGAGAUGGCGGAAUGGUUUCAGGCGGGCUAUUUUACCAUGUCUUUAUUGGUGAAGAGAGCGUGUGAUGAAAGCUUCCAACCUCUUGGUGAUAUCAUGAAAAUGUGGGGAAGGGUUCCCUUCUCUCCCGGUCCAGCUCCCCCUCCUCAUAUGGGAGAGUUGGACCAGGAACGACUGACCAGGCAGCAGGAGCUCACGGCCUUGUACCAGAUGCAGCACCUUCAGUACCAGCAGUUCUUGAUACAACAACAAUAUGCGCAGGUUUUGGCUCAACAACAGAAAGCAGCCCUGUCUUCGCAGCAGCAGCAACAGUUGGCACUUCUUCUCCAACAGUUCCAGGCUCUGAAGAUGAGAAUAUCUGAUCAGAACAUCAUUCCUUCAGUAACUAGGUCUGUGUCAGUGCCAGAUACUGGUUCUAUCUGGGAGCUUCAGCCAACAACCUCACAGCCUACAGUUUGGGAAGGUGGUAGUGUAUGGGAUCUUCCCCUUGACACCACGACUCCAGGACCUGCCCUUGAACAGCUUCAGCAGAUGGAGAAGGCCAAAGCUGCAAAGCUAGAACAGGAGAGAAGAGAGGCAGAAAUGAGGGCAAAACGGGAGGAGGAGGAGCGAAAGAGGCAAGAAGAACUCCGGAGACAACAGGAGGAAAUCCUUCGGAGGCAGCAGGAGGAAGAAAGGAAGAGGCGGGAAGAGGAAGAGCUCGCCCGAAGGAAACAGGAAGAAGCUCUGCGACGUCAAAGGGAACAAGAAAUUGCAUUAAGGCGACAGCGAGAAGAGGAAGAAAGACAACAGCAAGAAGAAGCUCUUAGGAGACUGGAAGAGAGGAGGAGAGAAGAGGAGGAAAGGCGGAAGCAGGAGGAGUUGUUACGCAAGCAGGAGGAGGAGGCUGCAAAAUGGGCCCGGGAAGAAGAAGAAGCCCAGCGUCGAUUAGAGGAGAACCGGCUGAGAAUGGAAGAGGAGGCGGCCCGACUCCGGCACGAAGAGGAGGAGCGGAAGAGGAAGGAGCUGGAGCUGCAGCGGCAGAAGGAGUUAAUGCGCCAGAGGCAGCAGCAGCAAGAGGCCCUCCGGAGGCUGCAGCAGCAACAGCAGCAGCAGCAGCUGGCGCAAAUGAAGCUUCCCUCUUCUUCCACGUGGGGCCAGCAGUCCAAUACAACAGCAUGUCAGUCCCAGGCAACGCUGUCAUUGGCUGAAAUCCAAAAACUAGAAGAGGAACGAGAACGGCAGCUUCGAGAAGAGCAAAGGCGGCAGCAGAGGGAAUUGAUGAAAGCUCUCCAGCAGCAGCAGCAGCAGCAAAAACUCUCAGGUUGGGGGAAUGUCAGCAAACCUGCAGGUACUGCGAAGUCUCUUCUAGAGAUACAGCAGGAAGAAGCCAGGCAGAUGCAGAAGCAACAGCAGCAGCAGCAGCACCAGCAACCAAACAGAGCCCGGAACAAUACGCAUUCCAACUUGCACACCAGCAUUGGGAAUUCUGUUUGGGGCUCUAUAAAUACUGGUCCCCCUAAUCAGUGGGCGUCUGACCUAGUCAGUAGUAUCUGGAGUAAUGCAGACACUAAAAACUCCAACAUGGGAUUCUGGGAUGAUGCAGUGAAAGAGGUGGGACCUAGGAAUUCUACAAAUAAAAAUAAAAACAACGCCAGUCUCAGUAAAUCUGUAGGUGUGUCUAACCGGCAGAAUAAGAAAGUAGAAGAAGAAGAAAAGUUGCUGAAGCUCUUUCAGGGAGUAAAUAAAGCCCAAGAUGGAUUUACCCAGUGGUGUGAACAGAUGCUUCAUGCCCUUAAUACGGCAAAUAACUUGGAUGUUCCCACAUUUGUUUCUUUCCUGAAAGAAGUAGAAUCUCCUUAUGAGGUCCAUGAUUAUAUUAGGGCCUAUCUAGGAGAUACAUCUGAGGCCAAGGAGUUUGCCAAGCAGUUCCUCGAGCGCCGUGCCAAACAGAAAGCCAACCAACGGCAGCAGCAGCAGCAGCAGCAACAGCAGCAACAGCAGCAGCAGCAGCAGCAGCAGCAACAGCAGCAGCAGCAGCAGCAGCAGGACUCUGUGUGGGGAAUGAAUCACAGUGCACUCCAUUCAGUAUUUCAGACCAAUCAAAGCAACAACCAACAAUCCAAUUUUGAGGCCGUACAAAGUGGCAAGAAGAAGAAAAAGCAGAAGAUGGUCCGAGCAGAUCCCAGUUUAUUAGGGUUUUCAGUCAAUGCUUCAUCAGAGCGACUCAAUAUGGGUGAAAUCGAGACUUUGGAUGACUACUGAGCACCUGCCAGUGGACUGGCCUUCCUUCUCCUCUCUGCUGACCAUGGAUUCUCCACCUUUGGACACAACAGUUACUCACCAUUUACUCUUUAUCACUCUGCAACAAGUCACAGAACCGAUCAUCUCAGGCUUUUUCUUCUAGCCCUUUGUGUCCAAGAUUCUUUAAAUUGUUUUUGUUGCCCCCCACAGAACAUCACCUGGAAUUGCCAAUCACACUUUGGUCUGGAGCCAUUGGACCGUCCGUCCCUGUGUGAGAAGUGCUGUGGUUCGGUGGCUCCUAGUCGAGCACCUUUUCUUUCUGUCAUCAUUGCCUGAAGAAGGCUGGAGUUGCUCUGAGAGCAGUUUGGUUUUGGCUGAUUAUAUUUGGUUUCUAUUUUUAUUCUUUUGGGUCACCAUUCUCCCUAUCCCUUCUUGCCUUCCUCCCUCCCUCCCAAACAUGUACAAUAACUAUACAGAGACUGCUACAAACUUGUAUAUAGUUUUUGGAUCAAAUAGCAUGAGGAGAUGGGGAACCAUUGAAACUUGGGACUCCUGCUCUCCUUUGCUUUGUAAAUUCAAAAGUGGGGGGUGGGGAAGAGGGAUAGUUAAAAUGUUUACAAAACUUUAAGCUCCCUCGGAACUUUUGCCAGUGUGGAGGAAAAUAAAAAAGAACUUAAAUAAAACGUGGUGGUAUUCUGUCUGAGCACACCUCGUGUACUCACCUUUGUCAAGGCUCAGUUUUGCGCUAAACUGUUUUCUUGGCACCGUGGAGAAGCUCCAGGCGCGUGAGCACCCGAGACACCGAAGCAGCCGUGACUUUUCCUGCCAGGUUAUGGAACACUGGCUGGUUCUGUAUUUGCGAACGUAGAGGUCACGAUAAACACGGGUAAGUUUGACCAAAUGUCUUUACUCCCUUUCACUGUCCCUUUCUGCUGACUUGUGGGUCGUCUCCUGCCCUCACACCACAGACACACACCCCUGAAUGUGCCUUCCAGAGCCUGCCCACACCUUCCAAACUAGACUCCACCGUGUGCUUGUUCAGAGAAAAUAAAAAUAAAUAGAACACAAACAUUUGGGGUGGGGUAGGUACAUUUGGGGGAGCAAAGUCAUUUUCAUCAUGGAACAUUCCAUUUAACCAAGAACCUUGCUUCUACUUGAGGAAUUUCCCACUUAGUGGAAACAAGCCACUCUUCCCCAGAAAUGUUCUUCUGUUUCAGUCCUGCUCCUUUUCACAUUCUCAUCUGUUCACUCCCUUCCAACCACCACAUUAUAUCCCUUCCUGUAAACUUAUUUGCAAACUAACGUAACUCUUUCUGAGUUUUAAAGUAUUUGUUUUGUGCGUGGUUUGCUUUUACUUAUUUUAAUUUGGAUGUUUGAAAAACAUACCCAGACAAGACAGUUUUAUUAUGGAGACUUUCCCCCCAGAUAGUUGGUGUUCUCGUUACUGUUGCUGCAUAACAACUUACCUCAGACUUAUUUACAACAACCCCCUCAUUUUGUUGGCAAUUUUAAGAGUCACAAUUUGGGGGAAGGGCUUAGCUGGGCAGUUCUCGCAUGGGGUCUCCUCUGAUCGCGGUAAGAUGUCAGCCGGGACAAUCUUCGGGAGCUUCGAUUAGGUUGGCAGGCCAAGACGGAUCACUCAGUGUGGCUGGCAGUUGCUUCUGGUUGUUGGCUGGGAGCUCAGCUGGGUUCAUGGCUGGAGGAACCAUGUAUUCCUUGUCACGGUAUCCUCAGGGUGGGUGGGCGGGCUUAGGUGGCACCUGGCUCCCACCCACCCCGAGGAGAACCAAGCAGGGGCUGCAUCACCUUUUCUAACCUAAACUCAGAAGUUCCGUAAUGUCGCUCCUGUGGUGCUUUUAUUCUGGCAAAGCCCGUGCACACCCAUCCAGAUUCAGCGGGCUGGGAACACGGGACUCUCCCCAUCCUUGUUGGGCGAUGUGGUAAGGUCACAUCGUAGGAGAGCACGUGGGGUGGGAGACGUUGCCAUUUGGGAGAGUUUUCGGCAUAAGAUGAGUUCUGCUUCUACAUCAAGGAAUUUGAACUCUUCAUUAGCUCUAAGUUGGGGGAUUACUUUUUAAUUUUAGGAUAGGUAAUAGCAGUACUGGCUUUAUCUCCGUUACCUUUCUUUUAGGCAAAUUGUAUAAAUAUGUAACAUAGUGGUGUGUGUGUCCUUUUAUACACUUUCUUUAAACUGAUCAGAUUAAGAAAUUGAAGUUUAUACAAAAUGCCCUCUCUGUGUUACUAAUAAAAAUAAAAAAGUCUGUAUGACAGAAAUGCUGCUGUGGAAUGAACCCAUUUCUCUCUUGUGCUUCCAGUGUGGAAAGUAGAAUUCCCUCACAAGAGCCUCAGGCGUGCACAUUCCAAAUAGGCUGUAACUUUCGACCAAGAGCACAUUCCAGAUGGAAGUUGGCCUCCCAGUUGAUGGGUUUCUUGGAGCGAAAAGAAAUAGCCCAGCUCUGGAGAUGGAUUUGGCCCUGCUUGAGUGCAGGCAGUUCCUGGUGAGGAAACUGCAGUGCCUGCUGAGAUCGUAGGGAGACUGGGACCUUGAAGCAGCCACAUGUGUGGGGUUUAUUUGAAGGGUGUCACCGGAUGUCCUGGGAAUGAUGAACUCUCCUGGAGGAGAGUUUCCCUCCAGGGAUUCAUCAGUGGGAAUGUUUUGCAACUAAAACAGCAUAGCUAUGGUUCACUGUAUGGGAGGAACAGCACAUAGCUGCUGGAAGCAAGGGAAGAGAAGUGGGCUCUUUCCUUCAUUACUCCUCUGCGGCCUAAAAUCUAUCACUGCCCCCCUGUCAUUGCUGGCAAAGUGAUGACCUCGUGAGGACAAGACUCAAAAUAGCACCAACACUGAGUUCAGUUCAGGGGGUAUUAAGCAGAGCCAUCAUUUCUCAAAGAUUGUUCACUUGAGUACGGUGGUAGAAUAGCAUUCCUUGACCGAAAGUUACUUUUUCUUUUGAGUUUCUCGGAGAAGCAGUCCUGAAAAUUGUCAGUGGGUGAGUAUGAAGUUUGGUUGCAUAUAAGAGGAGAGAAAAAGCAAAGUGAAACAAGAUGGUUUCUCAAGUGAAAUCUGGAGGUCAUCAAUCCAAGGCUGGCAUGUUGCUCAGGGACCUGGGUUCUUUUGUUUCACCAUCCUGAUUGUGGCUUACAUACUCAACAGUCACUCGUGGUCCAAGGUGACUGCUAGAGCACCAGUCAUCAAGCCCAUAUUCCAGGCAGGAGGAAAGGAGUGAGUUGAAGCAAAAGAAGCACACCUCCCUGCUUCUAGCCCCCAAUAAGGAGCUUUUUUAAAAUCUUAACCUGUCAGGAAUGUAAACACAUGACUAAAGUUAGUUGCAAGAAAGGCUGGAAAUUUGGGGCUUUUAGUUGAGUGUGCUGCCGCCCGAAGUGGCACUGGAGUUCCGUUUCUAAGCCCUGGGGAGACUGGAUAUUGCAUUGGCGGUUAGCAGUCUCUGACAGUAAUAUUCUCUAGUGUUCUCUUUUGAAGUUGCACAAGUUUGGGGUAGUUGGUGCACAUAGACCAUGGGAAAGGAAUCUUAGUAACUGAGAUGGCUCAGUUCUGAGCGGGCUCAGAACAGGCUCUGGUUUCCAUUCUUGUGCAGAGCUGGGAACCCAGAGCAGUUUCCAAAGGCCCAGCCUUGUUGUGUCCAGAAUCUCCCAGUCCUACCCAGAGUCUGCGUUUUGGGUGGGUUUUUUUAAAGGUACUCUGUGGAAUGAACCUGCAAGUAGUUUCAAGAAUGGAGGUCCUAGAGUCGAGCUGUCAGAUUUGAAUG